Molecule: long non-coding RNA, 307 nt
Filed under: Medicago truncatula (barrel medic)
Lineage: Eukaryota; Viridiplantae; Streptophyta; Magnoliopsida; Fabales; Fabaceae
Description: long non-coding RNA (MTRU_LNC002110)
Source: RNAcentral
UCAAAACCCACCCUAACAGUAACCCCAACCACCCUCACAAAAUCUGGCGACACCGUCACCCUCCGGUGGUCCGGUAUCCAAUCCCCCUCCGAUCUCGACUUCCUCGCAAUCUACUCCCCACCUACCUCCGCCCACAAAAACUACAUCGGCUACCUCUUCCUCUCCAAAUCCCCCACCUGGCAAUCCGGCUCCGGCAACCUCUCUCUUCCUCUCAUCAACCUCCGUUCCAACUACUCCUUCCGUAUCUUCCACUGGUCCCAAUCCGAAAUCAACCCUAAACGUCAAGAUCACGAUCAUAAUCCCUUAC